This 157-nucleotide ribosomal RNA is filed under the name uncultured bacterium. Its description in RNAcentral is "partial 16S ribosomal RNA". It matches the Rfam family "Bacterial small subunit ribosomal RNA", at positions 338 to 507 of the family's 1533-position model. The record is from RNAcentral.
CCUACGGGAGGCAGCAGUGGGGAAUCUUGCGCAAUGGGCGAAAGCCUGAUGGAGCGACGCCGCGUGCAGGAUGACACCCUUCGGGGCGUAAACUGCUUUUCUAUCCGAAGAAGCUUCGGCUGACGGUAGGAUAGGAAUAAGGAGCUGCAACCUCGUG